AUUGCCCUCGUAACGGCGAGUGAAGCGGCAACAGCUCAAAUUUGAAAUCUGGUUCGGCCCGAGUUGUAAUUUGCAGAGGAUGUUUUUGGCGCGGUGCCUUCCGAGUUCCCUGGAACGGGACGCCACAGAGGGUGAGAGCCCCGUAUGGUUGGACACUAAGCCUGUGUAAAACUCCUUCGACGAGUCGAGUAGUUUGGGAAUGCUGCUCUAAAUGGGAGGUAAAUCUCUUCUAAAGCUAAAUACCGGCCAGAGACCGAUAGCGCACAAGUAGAGUGAUCGAAAGAUGAAAAGCACCUUGAAAAGGGGGUUAAACAGUACGUGAAAUUGUUGAAAGGGAAGCGCUUAUGACCAGACUUGUGCCGUGCGGCUCAUCCGGGGUUCUCCCCGGUGCACUCCGCACGGCUCAGGCCAGCAUCGGUUUUCGUUGGGGGAUAAGAACUGUAGGAACGUGGCCCCUUUCGGGGGGUGUUAUAGCCUAUGGUACGAUACCCUGGCGGGGACCGAGGACCGCGCUUCGGCAAGGAUGCUGGCGUAAUGGUCAUUAGCGACCCGUCUUGAAACACGGACCAAGGAGUCGUCCAUUAGAGCGAGCGUUUGGGUGUAAAACCCGCACGCGUAAUGAAAGUGAAAUUAGGUGAGAGCUUCGGCGCAUCAUCGACCGAUCCUGAUGUUCUCGGAAGGAUUUGAGUAAGAGUUUUAACGGACGGACCCGAAAGACAGUGAACUAUGCUUGUAUAGGGUGAAGCCAGAGGAAACUCUGGUGGAGGCUCGCAGCGGUUCUGACGUGCAAAUCGAUCGUCAAAUAUGAGCAUGGGGGCGAAAGACUAAUCGAACUGUCUAGUAGCUGGUUACCGCCGAAG
Molecule: ribosomal RNA, 860 nt
Filed under: Synnemasporella aculeans
Lineage: Eukaryota; Fungi; Ascomycota; Sordariomycetes; Diaporthales; Synnemasporellaceae
Description: LSU rRNA
Rfam family: Eukaryotic large subunit ribosomal RNA
Source: RNAcentral